UUUGGCAGUAAUUAAUUUUGAUUAUGUUUUGUAUAUUGUUGGGUUAAUGGUUUUAUUUCUUGAAAUUCUGCCAAAUUAUUUACAUUUCACUUUUGUUAAUUACCCAUCAUCUCUAUUUUCUUUAAGUUACAAAUUUGGAUUGGCACUAAUUUUAUUCAAUUAGAAAAUUCACACGAGUCCAUCCUUCAAUCGACUGGCUCCUCUUCUUCAUAGUUGAUCGAUGGCCACCUUCACAAGAACAUAAGUAAGUUUAUUCAUGCAAUCAAAUUUAACUAUUUAUGUACGAUUUUCUUUUCAGUUUUCUG
This 305-nucleotide long non-coding RNA is filed under the name Panax ginseng (ginseng). Its description in RNAcentral is "long non-coding RNA (PGIN_LNC010064)". Lineage: Eukaryota; Viridiplantae; Streptophyta; Magnoliopsida; Apiales; Araliaceae. The record is from RNAcentral.